Molecule: long non-coding RNA, 1168 nt
Filed under: Phoenix dactylifera (date palm)
Lineage: Eukaryota; Viridiplantae; Streptophyta; Magnoliopsida; Arecales; Arecaceae
Description: long non-coding RNA (PDAC_LNC011247)
Source: RNAcentral
UUCAUCUUCAUCCUCCCGAAUCAUCUGCGGAACAACUUCUUCCCAGCCAGUGAGCAUCUCUUCCUUAACCGAACUCAAAGAUUACCGCCCCAUCGUUCCAGAUUUCUUCUCACAAAUCAUCUCCCUUGCUCCACAUUCGCAUGGGAUCCCCUGUGUCCAAAAACAGAGCAAAGUCUCAGCGACCAUGGUCCACUCCAUCCUCCCACGGAUAAACCCAGCAUCCCAACCGUCUUCCUUUCCUCCCGUAUCCCAUGAACGAAACCAAUCUCCCCAGCAUCCACAUCAUCUUCCUAGAUCUUAUCCCAUUUGGAACGGAAUUCCAUCACCCGUGGAUCAAGCCAGUGAACCUUCCCAGAUUUCCCUCGUGCCCGUGUUCACCUUCCACGGCCAUGAACCAAGCCAACAGCCGCUUGUAUUCAGCCUCAUCCACGUAUUCACCCCAGAUCCUAGCUCCGAACCAGUCAGUGUUCCGGAUUGAGCUUAUCCACAACCGCAAAUCAAAGAUUCAUCCUCCUCCCCUGUUUCGGAACAGAGCCUUAGAGUGCCAGCCUAUCCACCCAACCUUGAUGAAUCCAACGACUCCCAACUUCUUCCCAUCAUUUUAGACUGAUUAUCUCCUGACUCUCCUCUUCUCCCGGAUUGACCCAGCCAACCAUGGGUGAUCUCCUGCGUCCAACGAACAGGGCCUUGUUAAGAAACAAAGCCAAAUCCUUUGCAUAAUCCACGGGAUCCCAUCCUCUUCCGGCUUGAUUCCAUGUAAUCUCCCAACGUCCACAUGAUCCUCUGCAUCCUUAUCCUUGAUUCAAAAGAGGGGAGGAGAGAGACGUGGGCAGGCUAUAAAAAGGGAGUCGAUUCAUUCCUCCUUCCCCAUCGGGGGGGCAUCCCUCUUCCCCCACCGGGGGCUGUUCCCAACUCCUCUUCGGCAAGCUCUUCGGAGGCCAAAAUCCCGCAGAAGACAGAGGAGGGAGAAGAGUUUCUGGGCAUUUUGGGAAUGAUUUCCCAAAGAAAGGAAUCGAUCUCAGGGGAAUCACAAGAGGAAGAGAAGAAAGUGACGGGAGCCCGCUGCUGUGCUGCUACUGCCGUCCUCCACUGCAUGGAAGCUUAAAUUCCUCUCUAGGGCCNNNNNNNNNNNNNNNNNNNNNNCAUGGGUUUUACAUUUUAUUUUAUA